UAGGGAAUCUUCGGCAAUGGACGAAAGUCUGACCGAGCAACGCCGCGUGAGUGAAGAAGGUUUUCGGAUCGUAAAACUCUGUUGUUAGAGAAGAACAAGGACGUUAGUAACUGAACGUCCCCUGACGGUAUCUAACCAGAAAGCCACGGCUAACUACGUGCCAGCAGCCGCGGUAAUACGUAGGUGGCAAGCGUUGUCCGGAUUUAUUGGGCGUAAAGCGAGCGCAGGCGGUUUCUUAAGUCUGAUGUGAAAGCCCCCGGCUCAACCGGGGAGGGUCAUUGGAAACUGGGAGACUUGAGUGCAGAAGAGGAGAGUGGAAUUCCAUGUGUAGCGGUGAAAUGCCUAGAUAUAUGGAGGAACACCAGUGGCGAAGGCGGCUCUCUGGUCUGUAACUGACGCUGAGGCUCGAAAGCGUGGGGAGCAAACAGG
Molecule: ribosomal RNA, 429 nt
Filed under: Gemmatimonadota bacterium
Lineage: Bacteria; Pseudomonadati; Gemmatimonadota
Description: Gemmatimonadetes bacterium partial 16S ribosomal RNA
Rfam family: Bacterial small subunit ribosomal RNA
Source: RNAcentral